GAGCUCCAAAACGAACUUGCGACUCUCCCCCCGACCCUCACCCCCAUCGCCCGCCGCCUUCGGCCUCCCCCGCCCGAUCUCGCCGUCGCCAUGGAGGACGACGACGAGUUCGGCGACCUCUACACGGACAUCGUCCUCCCGACGGCCGAGCCCCCCAGGCCGCCGCCGCCCGCCGAAACCCCGCCGCGCGCAGCCCCGGCCCCAAACCCUAAUUCCGCGCCAGCUCCCGCGUCGGCCGCGGCAGCGGCGGGCGCCGAGGAAGACGACGACGACGACUGGCUGCUCGGAGGGGGCGAACCCCUCGCCGGGGUCGACCCCACCACCGACUGGGUCGACGAGGACGACGAUGGCGGCGCGGCCCCCGCCGUGAAGCGCGAGGUUGAUGCGAAGCCGCCGCCCCCCGCCGCGGAGGAUCCCGAUCCGCUCAUGGGGGUCGGCGCGGACGACCCCGGGGCGGCCAUCCCGGGGCUCUCGUCCUCGGCGGCGGCCGGUGGUGCGGCCGGGAGCGAGGACUGGGAUAGCGACAGCGAGGACGACCUCCAGAUCGUGCUCAACGAGACGGACGGACGCCGGCGGCUCGGGGAGGACGAAGGCGACGACGAGGACGGGGAAGACCUCCUCAUCGUCGCCGAUGGGCUUCACAUCCCCGGCAUGGAGGAGCAGGAGUGGGUGGAGGACGGGACAGCGGCUGGGCCCGAGGGAGAGAGAAAAGAGGGCGGUGAGCCUGGGAAGACGGGCCCCAUGCCUGGCGGGAGGAUCGGGUACAGUGGCGGCGGCCCGGGGUUCAACCCGCAGCACCAUUCCAUGUUCAAGUAUGUACGACCUGGUGCUCCAACCGGUGGGGCUCCUGGUGCUCCUGGCCAAUUCCGUCCACCUGGACCCCAGGGACCUUUUUCUGGUCGAGGAAGAGGAGACUGGCGGCCUGGUGCUGGUAGGGGCAUGAAUAAAGGUUUUCAUUCAGGCUAUGGAAUGACUCCAUGGGGUGGUGCUGGUCGUGGUUUCGGUGGCGGACUAGAUUUCACACUUCCUCCUCACAAGAUAAUUUUUGAUAUUGACAUUGACACCACAUUUGAGGAAAAGCCAUGGAAAUACUCUGGUGCUGAAAUUUCAGACUUCUUCAACUUUGGGCUUGAUGAGGAGAAAUGGAAAGACUACUGCAAGCAACUGGAUCAAUCACGAUUGGAGUCCACAAUGCAAUCUAGAAUACGGGUGUACGAGAGUGGGCGCUCAGAACAGGACUACGAUCCAGAUUUGCCACCGGAGCUAGCUGCUGCGGCUGGCCAUCACGACAUAUCUGCUGAUAAUCGGAAUAAAGUAGAUAAUGGACAUGCAGAUUUCAGUGCCCAAGGGAGAGUUCCUACAAGCAACCGACCUGCAGUGAUGAUGGGCAGACCUAUACAAGUUGAAACUGGUUAUGGAGAACGUUUUCCGUCUGCUGAUACACGUUCGCGAAUGCGUGAUUCGGAUUCUGUUAUAGAGAUUGUAUGUGAGGCUCCGGCAGAUGAUCCAAUAGUUGCUGAUAGUUCAGUGGAUCAGUCUGAGAAGGAUUCUCAAGGAGGUAAAAAAAGCAACGGUGUUGAGGAGAGCGAGGUGUAUACACCAGAGAAGACGAAUAAUUCUUCUUAUAAUUCCACCUUGGGAAAGGCAGAACAUACCAGAAGGUUGCCUGUCUCAUCUGAAGGUGAUAUGCUCACAUCAGAUGUUCACGGCCGUUCCCCGCCGAACUACAAAAUAAGGGGCUCUCCUUCUCGUGGAGUAAGGUUGAAAGGACGCUCUCAGGGUGUAAACCCUAGCCGAGAAGCUGAAAGCUCCAAUGAAGUACCUCGCAAAACAACAUCCUCCAAGAGACGCCGUGAUACCCCGAGAGAUAGCAAACCUGUUGAUGACUCGGAAACUAAGGAUGGCUUAAAAGGGUCACCUACUGUUGCUGAUGAAACGACAGACAAGCUGAGCACAGAAGAUCAAUUUGCUGAUAAUGAUGAUAGGCUUGCUUUGGUUGAUAGUGCUGAAGCAGAUGCUGAUGAUGCUAUCUCAGAACCUCACAUGGCUAGUGAUACGAAUGAGGGUGAUCACGAGGAUCAUUCUAGUAAAAGGCAGAAGAUCAUUUCUAAGGUUGAGCAGCCCCCUAGACACAAUAAUAGUAGUGAUCAAGUCGAUUUGAAGACACUGAAUAGUGAAAACAGUAGAGGAGUGAGGUCUGGUAGCAGCAAAGAUCAUCAGAAACGCCUUGAAUCUGGUGAAGAAGUUCUGCAGGAUAGGCGAUCCAGACGUGUAAAUGAUGCGAGAAGGCAUCAUGAUGGAGAAGAACGUGAUCCCCGUCGAAAGGAUGUGUCUGCUCGAGACAUCAAACCUGAAAUAGAAAGGACACAUCUGGCUUCUAGAGGUAGGGAUGAUAUCCACCAUCCUUAUGGGAACAGAGAUCAGGACGUACGCGGUAAAAGUUUUGAUAGGGUAAGAGAAACUGAAAUUUUGCAGAGGAGAGAAGACAGCAUGCACAACAGAAGAGGCAAGGAGGAAGAUUUGAGACUCAACUACAAUGCUGAAGUUGGUGCAAGACAGAGAAAUAAGUUGAGACCUAUUGAUAGGAAUGACAGGGAUGAAGAUCCUCAUCCAAGGAAAUUGCUGGAUGAUGGUGACUGGAGGGGCUCUAGACAAAGAGAGCGUGGUGAUAUGGUUUUGAAUAGUCGUGAAAGUUUAGAUGAUUCUCAUAUCAAGAGAAAGAAAGAUGAAGAGAACACCAGGAGAAUGAAACCCGAGAAUGAAGAUGCAGUGCACGGUUAUAGAGGAAGGGAUGAUCCAAACAGAAGGAAGAGAGAACGGGAUGAUGGAAUUGAUCAGAAAAGAAGAGACGAUGGUGUUAGGAUGCGGGAGAAGGCUGAUGAUCGUAGUUUUGUGAAGAAUAAAGAGGACAACUUGCGACAGAGAGAGAAGGACGACAAGCAGAGGCCUAAGCAUGAAAGCACACUGCUCCUUCAGAGAGAAGAAGGCAGAGGAACUGGUCGGGGUGGACGGGUUAUGGAUGAAAAAAUUGUCAGUGGUGGUAGGAAGAAGGAUGAAUCAAGAUCUGCAUUGUUGAGCAAAGAAACCCAAGAGCGCAGCAAACAGAAUGAGCCUGGGAGGAGAGGUCAAGGUGCAGAAGAAAACAACACGCAGAAUAAAGGGCGAGCUGAUGUGCGUCCACGUGAUGACAAUCCCAAUAACAAUGAAAGGAACUCCAGACAAGAUAAAAUAAACAAGACCCAUGACAAUAAUCGUGUAUCUAGCAGUUCUGAUGCUCGCCAGGCUAAUAGGGAUAAGCCCAGGGAGAGCACAAGAAAGGGCAGAGGCUCUGUGCCAAAUGAGCAAGAUCUUCACAGAUCUAGCAAGAGAAGACGGGAAGACCAUGAAAGCCAUCGUAGUGGGAAGGUUGAGGUGAAAGGAGGGAGGGAGCAAGAAAAUGGUAGGGAUCAUGCUACAUCAUCCAAAACGAGCAAGAAUCCUCAACGACAUGAUUCAUUUGUGAAACAAGGGGAAGAAGAAGCCAUGUCAGACGAUGAGAACACCGAUGAUUCAAGAAGGGGUCGGUCUAAGCUGGAGCGAUGGACAAGCCACAAAGAGAUUGACUAUAGUACUAUUGAUAAUGAGACCACACAUGCAUUUCCUUCCAUCAAAGCUGAUGUUCAACCCCCCACUGCUGAUGCGUCAGGUAAAUCUGAUGUUCCUGCUAUAGUUGUCAGUUCGGACAUGAAGAACAGUGGUGAUAAUGGGCAAGCCUCUGAGAUGACGGCUGAAGAGCGUGACCGACAUCUAGACACGGUUGAGAGGCUCAAGAGAAGAAGCGAACGUUUCAAACUUCCCAUGCCUGGCGAGAAGGAGGUACCCCAGAACAAAAAGGUUGAUGCUGAAGUGCAGACUCCCCAGAAUGAAUCGCCUGCUGCUGACGUUGAAGUGAAGCCUGAGCGGCCAGCUCGCAAGAGGAGAUGGGCUGGGAGUUGAUUGGAAGUCAGAAACAUAUAUCCUCAUCUGAAGUGGUGGCACAGCUCAUGGAGAAGCUGGAAACGUAUCCUCAUCUGAGGAAGUCGCGGCACAGCUGAGCUCGCGCAAUGCUUUUCUCUGUUACAACUGAAAGUUGAACUGAUGUAUGAUCUGUACUGUAUAACUUAGAUCUGUAACUGUAACCAUACAUACAUGUUCAUUUGUGGCUGGGGACCUGGAUACUUUUUUUUUCUUUUCCGAUUCUUCCCCUUAAUUCCGGGGAUCGGGAAUGUGUGGCACUGGUGCCACCAGACUCCGGGUAGCCAUGUGUUCUUUGUGGGAAACCUUGGAGGUUUCCAGCUUCACCUGCUAAGGAGCCACAAGGCACUUUUGAAGCUGGCGUGGGGAUGCUGCAAGGCGCCUUGUUAUGAGCUGCCAUUGGCACACUGGAUUUUGCAUCACUCUUCUACUGGUGUUACUUGAGAGCUUUUGUUUGUGGGCCAAGAAGAGCUGGGGAUCUCUGGAGUGCUUCGAGUUAUGACAAGUGCUGUGUGUGUUUGAUAUUAUUAUGUGUAUGUACAUUAUGAUAAUAUCUUGGACUGGUGUGCAUAGGAUGCAACAAGAUAGAUUCUAUAGUACAAGUGCAUGUUGCAGUGAAUGUCGUGGACAAUGCAUGCGAUAAUAUCCUAUACCUGUAGACAGUGGUAGGCAAAAAAAGGUUAUAUGCUUGUUUAGCUUAUUUUUUUCUAGCGAUGUACAUGUAACUAGUCAUCAGGAAUUUUGCCUAUGGAAAAACUGUCGCCUGAUUGAAUUUUGGUUGGCACUUGAAGUUGCAUAUCUGUUGGGAGGUGCUAGUAAUACAGUGAAAUUGCUCCCCUAUUGCGAGCUGAUCUCAACAACACGGCCAGCCAUUGACCAUUGCAGCAUAGUAGAAAGCAAGAGUUGCGUCAGGCUCGCGCCGAACCACCUGAGCCGUCAGGCUGGAGCUGGACCAGCGGCCGCGAAUGAGCGGCACAUCCUCGUGGACCAACUGGUGGUCGGCGAUGCUGACCUCCCACGCCUCACCCACCACAAAUAAUUUUGCUCCCUUCAUUUUU
RNAcentral lists this ribosomal RNA (5051 nucleotides) under Triticum aestivum (bread wheat). Its description in RNAcentral is "partial small subunit ribosomal RNA". The record is from RNAcentral. Lineage: Eukaryota; Viridiplantae; Streptophyta; Magnoliopsida; Poales; Poaceae.